Molecule: small nuclear RNA, 59 nt
Filed under: Coturnix japonica (Japanese quail)
Lineage: Eukaryota; Metazoa; Chordata; Aves; Galliformes; Phasianidae
Description: U7 small nuclear RNA (ENSCJPG00005019427.1)
Rfam family: U7 small nuclear RNA
About the family: Animal histone pre-mRNAs are spliced by a different mechanism than nuclear pre-mRNAs and self-splicing introns. This processing involves the U7 snRNP, which contains only one RNA species: U7.
Source: Rfam by way of RNAcentral
AAGUGAUUUCGCUCAUUUAGUAUUUGUCUAGCAGGUGUUCCACUCCAUGGGAAGCCCCU